CUUUUUCCCUCCUCUUUUUUCUCCUCUUUUUGUUUUCCGUGUUGCUGUUUUUUCAUUUGUGUUGCGUCUCGCUUCAUCGCCUCUCCUCUUUGCUUUGACUUUUCGUGUCUUCAUCACGUUCGUCCUCUUGCCUCUCCUUUUGUUUGUUUUAUUUCGGUUUUACUUGGGAAAGGUAAAGUCGUAACAAGGUUUCCGUAGGUGAACCUGCGGAAGGAUCAUUAC
Molecule: ribosomal RNA, 222 nt
Filed under: Sclerotinia sclerotiorum
Lineage: Eukaryota; Fungi; Ascomycota; Leotiomycetes; Helotiales; Sclerotiniaceae
Description: partial 18S ribosomal RNA
Source: RNAcentral